This 448-nucleotide ribosomal RNA is filed under the name uncultured bacterium. RNAcentral's name for it is "bacterial SSU rRNA". It matches the Rfam family "Bacterial small subunit ribosomal RNA", at positions 28 to 450 of the family's 1533-position model. The record is from RNAcentral.
GAUGAACGCUGGCGGCGUGCUUAACACAUGCAAGUCGAGCGAAGCAGUUAAGUUGAUUUCUUCGGAUUGAUUCUUGACUGACUGAGCGGCGGACGGGUGAGUAACGCGUGGGUGACCUGCCCCAUACCGGGGGAUAACAGCUGGAAACGGCUGCUAAUACCGCAUAAGCGCACAGAGCUGCAUGGCUCGGUGUGAAAAACUCCGGUGGUAUGGGAUGGGCCCGCGUCUGAUUAGGCAGUUGGCGGGGUAACGGCCCACCAAACCGACGAUCAGUAGCCGGCCUGAGAGGGCGACCGGCCACAUUGGGACUGAGACACGGCCCAAACUCCUACGGGAGGCAGCAGUGGGGAAGUAUUGCACAAUGGGGGAAACCCGUACGAUGCAGCGACGCCGCGUGAGCGAAGAAGUAAUUUCGGUUAGUGUAAAGACUCUAUCAGCAGGGAAGGAA